RNA transcript from Strigops habroptila (Kakapo), 2196 nucleotides. It is a transcript of the gene named LYR motif containing 7, with no coding region annotated. Lineage: Eukaryota; Metazoa; Chordata; Aves; Psittaciformes; Psittacidae. The record is from RefSeq and is a predicted model, not a curated record. The transcript is spliced from 5 exons.
CGCGGCCGGGGCGGUGCGCAGGGAGCGUGCGGUGCGCGGUGUCUGCCGGCGCGGCCCUGUCCCGCGCCUCCGCCGCCUCGGGGAGCGCCGCGAAGGAGUAGAGCCGGGGCCGGUGGGAAAGGGGCGGGGAGGGCCUGCGUAGGGCCCGCUCAGUGUCGCGGCGGAGGCUGCUGGCUCCCGCCCGCUUCUCUCUCUCCUUCCCUCCGUCGCUGCCUUAACAGCGGUCACGGGCCCGACCUUGUCCUUGCCCGUUUGUCCGGCGCCCUGCGUGAGGCCGGGGUCACUCGUGUCCCGGAGAGCCGCGGAUCCUGCCGCCGAGAGCCGGCCGCAUCGGGCGGUUUGUCCGUCAUGCGCUGCCUAGAGCUGCUGGUAGUGCCCGCGGGCCGGGGGAGGCGUGCGGUGUUCCCCGCAAACCUGCAGCCUUCGGCUGUAUAUAGGGCCUACACACAGCUUACGUACAUGGAGAAUAUGUCACCGGAGGGCAAGCACUUUUUCCCUGGCAUUUAUAGCGUCAACAAGCAGAGGCUUGCCGGGCAAGAAGGACAUAGAACUGGGUAAUAGAAAGAAAAGUUUUGUAUGCAGAAGUUAUUGUGGAAGAAGGAAACGAGAGAUGACAAUCAGGUAGAGGUUAAAAUAUGUCAGGAGAAUGAAUUGUGAUGGGAAGAUGAAGAAAAGCAGACAUCACUUGAACCUUUCAGCUUCACAGCAUAGAGUACUUCCAGGGGAGUUGAGCCCCUCUUGCAAAAGCGUUGUGAAGCCUAGUAUUGUGAGGACUAAUAUACUGAGAUAUUAGGGGAGUUCUGUGCUUCAUUAGGUGACUGUAGACCUCAAAGGAUUAGUGCAUUAAUACAUAGUACUUCAAAGUUACCUAAUGAAACUACUCUGUGGUUGGUGUGGUGAAGAACUUUCCACGAGGGGUUCACGGAAACAGGCAAAUAACAGAGGAAGAUGCCAGAAAAUUGUUGACCAGAGUUCAGAAUAACCAUAAAACACUUCUUCAGGUUUCACCAUGUACUCAAAACCGUUUGCAAUACUAACUUUACUGUUCACAAAGAUGGCGAAAAUAUUAUGGGGUAGAAAUCCUGUCCAAAUAAUUUAGUCAAAUCUCUGAAAAUACAUAUACAGAACAAGAGAAUUGUUUGCUGACUUCUAAUUCUAUUGGUUUACUUUCCACAGACUCAGCCAUCUAGAGAAUGCUGUAGUAGAAGGCAACGUGAUUCUAUUCAGUUGCUAAUUAUCAAGGACACAAGCUGAAAAGGAAUUAGCAGAGACUCUGUUCUUUUUCGUUUUGAGGAUUUUUAAAUCACUACACAGAACCCGGCAAGAAGUUUUUAAAAAUGAUACCAGAGCCCUUGAAGCUGCAAGACAAAAGAUAAAUGAAGAAUUCAAAAAUCACCACGAUGAGACAUCUGAAGAGAAGAUAAAUGAGCUUCUGAAAAUAGCUUCAGAUGUUGAAGUGAUUCUUAGAACUUCUGUUAUUCAGGCUGUUCACACAGAUUCCAACAAAAUAGUGCUCGUACCGAGGAAAGAUCUGCUACAAGACAAUACUCCUUACUUUGAGAAACCGACAAAAAAGCAUGAAUCCUGAGGAAAAUACGUCCCUCUUCCCAGAAGGCUAAUAUCCUGUAAUGAGAUCUCUGAAAACCAAUAGUGGAUACCUGUAUUAAAGUUAAAUUUAAAAAAUUGUUGAAUAUUGUUACCAGGAAAACAGGAACUGAAACCAAGUCACUGAUUUUAUUGUACUCUGUGGUAUCAUCUCACAUUUCUCCUGUGGAAGAUACUAAUACUUCCACAGAAGUGGAUACUGAGACUUCCACUUCAAGACACACAAUUGUCAUGAGAAUACACUGCUGAAUUGUGUUACUUCAGCCAGAAAUGUUUUUAAUUAUGACAGUUGUCAGAGAUUGUUUCCUAGCAAUCCAGAAGGUUUUGGGGUGGGUUUUUUUUUGUCUUUCAAAACUAAAUACAAGUUAAAUGCGUUCUUAAUCCUGAUGAUAUUUAUUUAUAAGUUUAUUGUCAAUCAUGUACUGCUUUGAAGUAAUGAAAGACCAUCUUGUGGCACUUGCCAUGAAAUUUAUGCUUUGCACCAAAAGCAUGAUUUCUAAAGUUGUCAUCAGUUGUACACUAAUAUACUGUGAUGCUUGAGAGAGUUCUUAAGGCUUAUCUGAAUAAAUUAUUUAGGUUUUGCAGAUGUGA